UCCGGUCAUUUAGAGGAAGUAAAAAGUCGUAACAAGGUCUCCGUUGGUGAACCAGCGGAGGGAUCAUUA
RNAcentral lists this ribosomal RNA (69 nucleotides) under Xylaria adscendens. RNAcentral's name for it is "partial 18S ribosomal RNA". It matches the Rfam family "Eukaryotic small subunit ribosomal RNA", at positions 1764 to 1831 of the family's 1831-position model. The record is from RNAcentral. Lineage: Eukaryota; Fungi; Ascomycota; Sordariomycetes; Xylariales; Xylariaceae.